Long non-coding RNA from Trifolium pratense (red clover), 976 nucleotides. RefSeq lists it as uncharacterized. The transcript has 3 exons. Lineage: Eukaryota; Viridiplantae; Streptophyta; Magnoliopsida; Fabales; Fabaceae. The record is from RefSeq and is a predicted model, not a curated record.
CGUUUCGCUGCCGUCAUUAUGAGGAUCAGGUAACCAAAAACAACUGCACUUAUUUUUGCUUCUGGCAAAAUGGUAUGCUCCUUUGUUGCACUUGCUGCUUCUGUCAUAUAAGUGUGUUUUGUUUGCAGAAUUAUAUCUUUGCUAUUUUAAUCAUUUAUUACUAACCUAAUUCUUGAUUUGAUUCACUUCAUAUAACCAUGGUUGGGAAUUUAAAAUUUCUGUGUAUUUGCUCAUGCUUUCAGUAUGCCCGUAUCAUCCAAAAGCUUUAUUUAUAUAUUUGUUGUUUAGCCUUACUUGCUGAAUUGCCUAAUUGAAUGAUGAAAAGGUUUAGGAAGUUUUCUUAAAAUUGAAAUGGCAGAUACUUGUGUCUAUCUUCAUAUUUUGGAUUAAUGUCUAUAGGUUGAAGAAAAUAUGCUGAACUCUCUUAUAUGGGGUGAUAGUAUGAACCAGAGCUGUUUCCCGGAUUAAUCUACCGGAUGAAGCAACCAAAGAUAGUUUUGCUUAUUUUUGUCUCUGGCAAAAUUGUUCUAAUAGGAGCAAAGGCAAGAGAUGAGACCUAUGCAGCCUUUGAGAACAUAUACCCUGUGCUUACCGAGUUCAGGAAAAAUCAACAAUGAUUUUUGUCAAAAGCAGGAGCAGUUUUCAUAUGGUUUUACUUUCAGUUACCAAAGUUAAAUGGUUUUACUUUCAGUUUUCAUAUUAUUUGAAUGGCGUUUAAACAUUUGCUCCUGCAUUACAGUUUUGUAGUUGAUUUGAACUUGUUAAAAAAAGCACUUUCUUUUUGAACUAUGAAGUUUAUAGAUUGUUUAGUUCUAAAUCUUGUUCAGAUCAAGAUGUCCAUGAAAGGAAAAAGUUUUUCGAGUGGAUUUUAGGAAUUGGUGAUGGAAAUGUGGGAGAAAACAAUGUAGACAUCAAUGUAUAAUAUCCCAAAUGAUCUAUUUAUUCAAAACUUUUGUGAUCCUAUUGCAGCUAUAGU